RNAcentral lists this ribosomal RNA (195 nucleotides) under Clostridium cavendishii DSM 21758. Its description in RNAcentral is "16S rRNA. Bacterial SSU". It matches the Rfam family "Bacterial small subunit ribosomal RNA", at positions 19 to 210 of the family's 1533-position model. Lineage: Bacteria; Bacillati; Bacillota; Clostridia; Eubacteriales; Clostridiaceae. The record is from RNAcentral.
CUGGCUCAGGACGAACGCUGGCGGCGUGCUUAACACAUGCAAGUCGAGCGAGUGGAUUCCCUUCGGGGAUGAAGCUAGCGGCGGACGGGUGAGUAACACGUGGGCAACCUGCCUUAUAGAGGGGGAUAGCCUUCCGAAAGGAAGAUUAAUACCGCAUAACAUCAGAUUAUCGCAUGGUAGACUGAUCAAAGGAGC